Molecule: transfer RNA, 83 nt
Filed under: Canis lupus familiaris (dog)
Lineage: Eukaryota; Metazoa; Chordata; Mammalia; Carnivora; Canidae
Also listed under: 1 other name
Rfam family: tRNA
About the family: Transfer RNA (tRNA) molecules are approximately 80 nucleotides in length. Their secondary structure includes four short double-helical elements and three loops (D, anti-codon, and T loops).
Source: Rfam by way of RNAcentral
GCCUGGGUGGCUCAGCGGUUGAGCGUCUGUCUUUGGCCCAGGGAGUGAUCCCAGAGACCUGGGAUCAAGUCCCGCCUUGGGCU